GACAAUGGGCGCAAGCCUGAUCCAGCAAUGCCGCGUGCAGGAUGAAGGCCUUCGGGUUGUAAACUGCUUUUGUACGGAACGAAAAGCUCUGGGUUAAUACCCUGGGGUCAUGACGGUACCGUAAGAAUAAGCACCGGCUAACUACGUGCCAGCAGCCGCGGUAAUACGUAGGGUGCGAGCGUUAAUCGGAAUUACUGGGCGUAAAGCGUGCGCAGGCGGUUUUGUAAGACAGAGGUGAAAUCCCCGGGCUCAACCUGGAAACUGCCUUUGUGACUGCAAGGCUAGAGUACGGCAGAGGGGGAUGGAAUUCCGCGUGUAGCAGUGAAAUGCGUAGAUAUGCGGAGGAACACCGAUGGCGAAGGCAAUCCCCUGGGCCUGUACUGACGCUCAUGCACGAAAGCGUGGGGAGCAAACAGGAUUAGAUACCCUGGUAGUCCACGCCCUAAACGAUGUCAACUGGUUGUUGGGUCUUAACUGACUCAGUAACGAAGCUAACGCGUGAAGUUGACCGCCUG
RNAcentral lists this ribosomal RNA (515 nucleotides) under uncultured bacterium. RNAcentral's name for it is "bacterial SSU rRNA". It matches the Rfam family "Bacterial small subunit ribosomal RNA", at positions 367 to 875 of the family's 1533-position model. The record is from RNAcentral.